This 467-nucleotide ribosomal RNA is filed under the name uncultured bacterium. RNAcentral's name for it is "partial 16S ribosomal RNA". It matches the Rfam family "Bacterial small subunit ribosomal RNA", at positions 28 to 506 of the family's 1533-position model. The record is from RNAcentral.
GACGAACGCUGGCGGCGUGCUUAACACAUGCAAGUCGAACGGAGAGGCCCUGCUUUUGUGGGGUGCUCGAGUGGCGAACGGGUGAGUAACACGUGAGUAACCUGCCCUUGACUUUGGGAUAACUUCAGGAAACUGGGGCUAAUACCGGAUAGGAGCUCCUGCUGCAUGGUGGGGGUUGGAAAGUUUCGGCGGUUGGGGAUGGACUCGCGGCUUAUCAGCUUGUUGGUGGGGUAGUGGCUUACCAAGGCUUUGACGGGUAGCCGGCCUGAGAGGGUGACCGGCCACAUUGGGACUGAGAUACGGCCCAGACGCCUACGGGAGGCAGCAGUGGGGAAUAUGGCACAAUGGGCGGAAGCCUGAUGCAGCAACGCCGCGUGCGGGAUGACGGCCUUCGGGUUGUAAACCGCUUUCGCCUGCGACGAAGCGUGAGUGACGGUAAUGGGUAAAGAAGCACCGGCUAACUACGU